Molecule: ribosomal RNA, 640 nt
Filed under: uncultured Bacteroidales bacterium
Lineage: Bacteria; Pseudomonadati; Bacteroidota; Bacteroidia; Bacteroidales
Description: bacterial SSU rRNA
Rfam family: Bacterial small subunit ribosomal RNA
Source: RNAcentral
AUGGUCUUAGCUUGCUAAGGCCGAUGGCGACCGGCGCACGGGUGAGUAACACGUAUCCAACCUGCCGUCUACUCUUGGACAGCCCUCUGAAAGGAAGAUUAAUACAAGAUGGCAUCAUGAGUCCGCAUGUUCACAUGAUUAAAGGUAUUCCGGUAGACGAUGGGGAUGCGUUCCAUUAGAUAGUAGGCGGGGUAACGGCCCACCUAGUCUUCGAUGGAUAGGGGUUCUGAGAGGAAGGUCCCCCACAUUGGAACUGAGACACGGUCCAAACUCCUACGGGAGGCAGCAGUGAGGAAUAUUGGUCAAUGGGCGCAGGCCUGAACCAGCCAAGUAGCGUGAAGGAUGACUGCCCUAUGGGUUGUAAACUUCUUUUAUAAAGGAAUAAAGUCGGGUAUGUAUGCCCGUUUGCAUGUACUUUAUGAAUAAGGAUCGGCUAACUCCGUGCCAGCAGCCGCGGUAAUACGGAGGAUCCGAGCGUUAUCCGGAUUUAUUGGGUUUAAAGGGAGCGUAGAUGGAUGUUUAAGUCAGUUGUGAAAGUUUGCGGCUCAACCGUAAAAUUGCAGUUGAUACUGGAUAUCUUGAGUGCAGUUGAGGCAGGCGGAAUUCGUGGUGUAGCGGUGAAAUGCUUAGAUAUCACGAA